This 460-nucleotide ribosomal RNA is filed under the name uncultured bacterium. RNAcentral's name for it is "partial 16S ribosomal RNA". It matches the Rfam family "Bacterial small subunit ribosomal RNA", at positions 338 to 795 of the family's 1533-position model. The record is from RNAcentral.
CCUACGGGAGGCAGCAGUGAGGAAUAUUGGUCAAUGGGCGAGAGCCUGAACCAGCCACGUCGCGUGAAGGAUGAAGGAUCUAUGGUUUGUAAACUUCUUUUAUAUGGUAAUAAAGUGAGGAACGUGUUCCUUUUUGUAUGUACCAUAUGAAUAAGCAUCGGCUAACUCCGUGCCAGCAGCCUCGGUAAUACGGAGUAUGCGAGCGUUAUCCGGAUUUAUUGGGUUUAAAGGGUGCGUAGGUGGUUAAUUAAGUCAGCGGUGAAAGUUUGUGGCUCAACCAUAAAAUUGCCGUUGAAACUGGUGGACGUGAGUACAUGUGAGGUAGGAGGAAUGCGUGGUGUAGCGGUGAAAUGCAUAGAUAUCACGAAGAAAGUCGAUUGCGAAGGCAGCUUACUAAACUAUAACUGACACUGAAGCACGAAAGCGUGGGGAUCAAACAGGAUUAGAUACCUGGGUAGUC